This is a long non-coding RNA of Solanum tuberosum (potato), 829 nucleotides long. RefSeq lists it as uncharacterized. Lineage: Eukaryota; Viridiplantae; Streptophyta; Magnoliopsida; Solanales; Solanaceae. The transcript has 2 exons. The record is from RefSeq and is a predicted model, not a curated record.
AACUUUAGAAUAUUCUUAUUGUAAGCAUAUAUUAUCAUUAACUUUGAUUGAUUUGCUAAUGAUCCUCAUAAUUGAUUAAGUUAGCAUUUGGCGGAUUCCAACAUUUUGGCUGAUUAUGGUAAAUUAUUUUAAUAUAUGAAUAUUGUGUUGGGCUGUAAUUGUGUCCUGCCUUAGUUAAAUGCUUGUCUUCUUGAUUAUAUAGUCAUAGAUGCUUUAAAUUAGCCUUCUUGCCGUAAUUAUAAAAAUCAACUGCCACUUGAUUACAUAUUGGGUAAAAAUCGAUUGAUUUUAUUCAUUAUUUGUUUAAGGAAAAUAAUUCUAAUUGUCUCCUUAAUUAUUUCUUUUCCUUUUAUGUUGUGCCCUCUCUUUUGUAUAUAAAUAAGGUUCAUAAUUCCAUAUAACACACGGUGGAACACCUCUACACUCUCACAUCCUAACUUGUGCUCACAUACUAAAAUACUAAAAUAUAUAUUACUCUCUGCUUGAAAAGAUUUUCGGGUGAACUUUUAAGAAGUAUUUUGCUGUGUUCGGGUCGAAUAGUGUGGAAUCAACUUGCCUUCAUUGCUGAUAUAUUUUUUAACUGCUUAACCAGGUUUGAACUUAAAGGUUCAAGACAUGAAGAGUCGCCAUGGGAGGGAAAUAGACUAAUCGAUUUAAUUUAUGUUUUGUGUAUUAUUUAAUCCUUUUUAUUAUUUUUGUAAUAAUUUGUAAACUCUAACUCUAUAUAUGUGAAAUAAUUUGGGGAUCGGCUAAGGGGGAGGGAUUUACAUGCUACUUGUUUAUUUAUUUUUAUCGUAACUUAUUUAUGUUAGAAACCAUGCUUAUAGGA